RNAcentral lists this long non-coding RNA (501 nucleotides) under Carica papaya (papaya). RNAcentral describes it as "long non-coding RNA (CPAP_LNC014329)". The record is from RNAcentral. Lineage: Eukaryota; Viridiplantae; Streptophyta; Magnoliopsida; Brassicales; Caricaceae.
UAAAAUUCAUGUUACCUUCAUGAUUAGCCUCGUUGGUCAUUCUUUACCAACCAUGAUUAGCUCUCGAUUUCUACUACAAAACUAUGUUAACCAGUUCUAGCAAAAUUGAACUGAUUGCCUGAGAGAUGUAGACCCUUUUAUUAUGUGUUUUUAUUUGGUUGAAUGAUGUUUGUUGAAUAAUACCAUGAUUUCUUUCCCAUUUUCCUUUCCUUCCUACCUCAAUGCCUCCAUCCUUAUUCACGUGGUCGAACCCUGAGAGCCUCUAGUUUGUCAGAUCCAGGCCUUUAAAUCACGUAAAUUGGUUAUGUGUUAGAAUCCACCCUAGUAACACCAUACCAACCCUUUGAAUACAGCUUCGAGCAAUAGAAAGUAUCAUUGGUAGCAAGGAGUCCUUAUUCUCUCCGCCUUUUUUUGUGAAAUCAGUUUUCUGGUUUUGUCAUUUGUGCAGUUUAUAGUACCAACCAUCAGUUCGGCCAAGUCUGCUUCUAGUCCACAAAUUAU